UAUGAAUACUGAUAUUGAUCUGAAUAUUGAUUGUUUGAGAAAGUGCAUUUUUAUUGCUGUUGGUUAGCGCGUUUUUCUUGACGCAUGAGAAAGUGAAAAACGGGUUUCAUUUUUUAGAUUUGGUUUUGUUAAUGCGUUUAUAAAUUUACCUCUAGGAUUUUGUCAGUAUCGCGACAGCAGUGAGCAAAUAUCUGGCAUAUAUUUGCGAUCGCCCGACAAACAAUUUGAAUCGUAACUAUUUUGACUGGUGUUUAUAAAAUAUAAGUUCAAACGAAUCAAACUCGCUCAAUGUCUUCUCUAGGAUUCACACUUCUUUCUGCGGUUUGCCGAGUGUUGCACUUGUUACUAGAUCUAUUGUUCUUGUUUUUACGCAGGCCGUUGAAAAAAGACAUAUUAAUGGCAAAGUAAUUGAUGUUAUUGAGGUGGAAGAGGACAUUAUUACGGUGCAUUUUUUUUCUUCGAAAUAUACCACCCAUUUUUGACAAUAUGUCAAAAAAACAUUUUUAUGUUCUCACACAUUUGUACAGAAUAUCUAUUACAUCCUACAUUGUCUAAAUUAACUUUUGUAAAGUCAUCGUUAAACCGAAAGUAGUGUUUUAAAAAAAACCUCAACGAUGAAGAGCUUAAAGCAAUAAAGCGCCAUACCAACAAACAAUGUCUGUUUUUUUCUACAAGUUAAACCAGUUUUAUUAAUUGCAUACUUACUGACAAGAACUUAGUCAAAAAGUUUGGUAUAAUUUUUUAUUUUUUAAACAGAAAGAACAAAGAUCUUUCUUCAAGCGACUUUUAAAAAAACAUAAUUCGUGUUAUUAUCCCACAACUGAACUAAUUUUAUUUUUUACCUAGUUUUCAAAUAAUUCUUUUCUCUUUUUUAAAACGUGGCAGUAUCGUACAGUUCGAAGAAAAGUGAAACUUUUUUACGGUAUAUCUUGUAAUCUCAACGAUGAAGACUUGCGUAUUAUUUUGGAUAGCGCUGUUUCUCUGUUUGCGUAUUACAGCAAUUCAAGCAUUCUGUCGGACCAUUCCUGUUCCCCAAGUGCGACCUCCGUGUUGGGCUGUUCAAAUUACAGGACCAGUGGCAUGUAAUGGUUUCUGCUACAUUUACCUUUAGUAAAAAAUUGUUACGUUUUUUUGUUGUUUAUUGAAUUGCGUUUUAUAGAAAAAGAUUUAAGAUGUAAAGUAAUUUGUAUAUUGUGUUAGGCCUUAACGCGUCAUGUUACGCUCCAUAACUAAGAGUCUGUUUGGACUGAAUCGAGAUAAGGUAAUUUUGAAAUAUGUUACACAAUCAAAAGUGUUUAGAAUUUAAAUACGUGUUUUAUUUUCUGAGGAAAAAAUGUAUCUUAAAUAUCUGUUGCACGAUUUUCAAUAAUAAAUGCGCCUUUCUACACCA
Long non-coding RNA from Hydractinia symbiolongicarpus, 1390 nucleotides. RefSeq lists it as uncharacterized. The record is from RefSeq and is a predicted model, not a curated record. The transcript has 2 exons. NCBI's taxonomy places the organism in Eukaryota, Metazoa, Cnidaria, Hydrozoa, Anthoathecata, Hydractiniidae.